UAGUUCUAGUAGUUGACGGACAACGGUAGUUUUUCAGGCUACAGGCCUAGGUAGAAACCCUAGUUGGAAUA
This 71-nucleotide transfer RNA is filed under the name Synapturanus sp. MZUSP 159215. Its description in RNAcentral is "tRNA-Glu". It matches the Rfam family "tRNA". Rfam says of the family: Transfer RNA (tRNA) molecules are approximately 80 nucleotides in length. Lineage: Eukaryota; Metazoa; Chordata; Amphibia; Anura; Microhylidae. The record is from RNAcentral.